GGUGGUGGAGAUGAGAGAGGAAUGAUGUGCAAGACAUUUCAGAGAUGAAACAAAGGGACUUGAUGAAUUACUGGUACAAGCAAGAGAGAUGAGUCAGAGAUGACUUGGAGGUUGCCAGCUUCGAUGAAACUUCUGAAGUGAUUCUGAUUUGCAUCAAAGUUUGAUAAACUUUGCUCUAAAGAGUUUUCUGAUGUCUAAGAGAAGGGGUUUGGAGACACUAUGGAAUGAUUUGAAGUCUGGAUCUUCUCAAUGAUGGAUCUUUGAGAUGAUCUCAAAGUCUGGAUCUUCUCAAUGAUGAUGAUGACUGUUGAUGACCUUGGUAAUAAUAAGAAUUAUUGUUUAUCCUGAAGCUGCGAAUAGGGAUUAAUGAUGAAGACAAAAGACGUUCUGUAGUUCUAGUUCCAAAGGGGCUGAGUUCAAGAUGGGUUUGCAACAUUGAACUUACAGUCAGAAAGAACACCCUUUAUAUCCUUGGUUUGCCACUGUCCUGCUGUGUUACUUAAGACAAGUUAGUUCACUUAACCUAUCUCAGCCUUCGUUUUCUUAUUUGUAACGUAAGUGUAUCAAUCAGCAUGGGCUGAUGCUGCGGUAACAAACAAGCCCCAAAUCUCAGUUGCUUAUCACAUCAAAGUUUUAUUUCUAAUUUAUUUUUCAUGUCCAUCCUGGGGCCACGAAAAGCUGCACUACAUGUUGUCUUUAUUCUAAGGACUCAGACUGACAAAAUAGUUGCCAUCAGAAAUGUUGCCAAUUUCUGUGGCAGUGGGACAGGGGGAGUGGGGGAAAAUGAAGGUACAUGGGCUCUUAGAGUUUCCACCUGGAGGUAACCACAUGAUCCUGCUCACAUUUCACUGGUCAGAGCAGGUCAUGUGGUCACCUCUAAGGAUGCAGGGAAGUGCAGUUUUACCAUGUGCCCAGAAAGCGGGGAGAACUGGAAAUAUUUGGUGGAUAGCACUCCUGGCUACCACAAUGAGCACUGUUAUAUCAACUUCCUUGUGGGGUUAUUGUAAGGAUUAAAGGAGAUAAUGGAUGAAGAAUCACUUUGCAAAUAAUAGAUAUUGCUCACAGUAAGAUAUUGCACACGUGACAUUUGGGGGGCAGUCAUGUGCCAAUCACUACGCCAGAUAUUCAUAACAGCAGUGCAUCCCCAGACAGAGUUCAGGAAGGGCAUAGCUUGCCUAGUUUUGCUCCCUCUUGGCACUGGAACCUUGACUGUAAUUGUCAGGUAGGGUCCACUAGCCCAGGUAUGUGCAGGUACCAAGAGUUCUUCUAUUGGAGACUUUUGAUGCUGCCCAAAGUAUUUCUUGGGAAGGGCUCACCCUUGUGACUGUUGACUACUGAUCUCCACAAGCAGAGAGAGCAUCAGUGGUCCUGAUGUCCGUCUGUCUCUGCACCUCCUUACUAAGGGGCAGGUAAGUCUUUUAGUUCAGUGGAUUUGAGACAGUUGUGGUCUGAUUUGGAUUUUAUUCCAAAU
This 1471-nucleotide long non-coding RNA is filed under the name Homo sapiens (human). RNAcentral's name for it is "HSALNT0224149". The record is from RNAcentral. Lineage: Eukaryota; Metazoa; Chordata; Mammalia; Primates; Hominidae.